GACGAACGCUGGCGGCGUGCUUAACACAUGCAAGUCGAACGAAGAGCGAUGGAAGCUUGCUUCUAUCAAUCUUAGUGGCGAACGGGUGAGUAACGCGUAAUCAACCUGCCCUUCAGAGGGGGACAACAGUUGGAAACGACUGCUAAUACCGCAUACGAUCUAAUCUCGGCAUCGAGGAAAGAUGAAAGGUGGCCUCUAUUUAUAAGCUAUCACUGAAGGAGGGGAUUGCGUCUGGUUAGCUAGUUGGAGGGGUAACGGCCCACCAAGGCGAUGAUCAGUAGCCGGUCUGAGAGGAUGAACGGCCACAUUGGGACUGAGACACGGCCCAGACUCCUACGGGAGGCAGCAGUGGGGAAUCUUCCGCAAUGGACGAAAGUCUGACGGAGCAACGCCGCGUGAGUGAUGACGGCCUUCGGGUUGUAAAGCUCUGUUAAUCGGGACGAAAGGCCUUCUUGCGAACAGUUAGAAGGAUUGACGGUACCGGAAUAGAAAGCCACGGCUAACUACGUG
RNAcentral lists this ribosomal RNA (510 nucleotides) under uncultured bacterium. Its description in RNAcentral is "partial 16S ribosomal RNA". It matches the Rfam family "Bacterial small subunit ribosomal RNA", at positions 28 to 507 of the family's 1533-position model. The record is from RNAcentral.